RNAcentral lists this unclassified non-coding RNA (208 nucleotides) under soil metagenome. Its description in RNAcentral is "partial contains 5.8S ribosomal RNA, internal transcribed spacer 2, and large subunit ribosomal RNA". The record is from RNAcentral.
AACCAUUCUCACCUGCGGCUAGACCUGCGGAAGGAUCAUUACCGAGUUUACAACUCCCAAACCCCUGUGAACAUACCAAUUGUUGCCUCGGCGGAUCAGCCCGCUCCCGGUAAAACGGGGCGGCCCGCCAGAGGACUCCUAAACUCUGUUUCUAUAUGUAACUUCUGAGUAAAACCAUAAAUAAAUCAAAACUUUCAGCAAUGGAUCU